UCAUAGCGACUAUCGUGGCAUAUCAAUAAGCGGAGGAAAAGAAACUAACUAGGAUUCCCUCAGUAACGGCGAGUGAAGCGGGAAGAGCUCAAAUUUGAAAUCUUCAAGGUUCUACCUUGACGAAUUGUAGUUUAAAGAAGUGUUUUCUGUUGGAGUUUUGGUAAAAGUUCUUUGGAAUAGGACAUCAUAGAGAGUGAGAAUCCCGUAUUUGACCAUUAUUUCCAGCUGUGUGAUACACUUUCAAAGAGUCGGAUUGUUUGGGAAUGCAGUCCAAAAUGGGUGGUAAAUUUCAUCUAAAGCUAAAUAUUGGCGAGAGACCGAUAGCGAACAAGUACCGUGAGGGAAAGAUGAAAAGAACUUUGAAAAGAGAGUUAAACAGUACGUGAAAUUGUCAAAAGGGAAGCGUUUGACACCAGUGUUGUUUUUCCGAAAAUCAAUUAAAAAUCGAUUCAUGCCAGGUUGUAUUGACCUUAUCAGCUUGCAAUUUGGUUUUGGGUCUCUUUUUGAUGCACUUUUCGGUUAACAAGUCAACAUCAAUUUCCUUUGUUGUAAAAGGGUAAUGAGGAAGGUGGCUUCAAUUUCGGUAGAAGGUGUUUAUAGCCUUGUAUCCUCUGCAGUCGGAGAGAUUGAGGUCUGCAGCGUAGAUCCUUCGGGGUUAGAUACAUUUAUGCUAAGUUAUAGCUUUCAUAGACAACUUGUUGACUAUGAUUAGUCAUUGUAGCUUACUCGCUUACUGCUAUUUUACCUACGCUUAGGAUGUUGACGAGACUGUCGAUCUC
RNAcentral lists this ribosomal RNA (779 nucleotides) under uncultured Neocallimastigales. RNAcentral describes it as "partial large subunit ribosomal RNA". It matches the Rfam family "Eukaryotic large subunit ribosomal RNA", at positions 22 to 647 of the family's 3401-position model. The record is from RNAcentral. Lineage: Eukaryota; Fungi; Neocallimastigomycota; Neocallimastigomycetes; Neocallimastigales.